RNAcentral lists this ribosomal RNA (497 nucleotides) under uncultured bacterium. RNAcentral's name for it is "partial 16S ribosomal RNA". It matches the Rfam family "Bacterial small subunit ribosomal RNA", at positions 28 to 507 of the family's 1533-position model. The record is from RNAcentral.
GAUGAACGCUGGCGGCGUGCCUAAUACAUGCAAGUCGAGCGAACGGACGAGAAGCUUGCUUCUCUGAUGUUAGCGGCGGACGGGUGAGUAACACGUGGAUAACCUACCUAUAAGACUGGGAUAACUUCGGGAAACCGGAGCUAAUACCGGAUAAUAUUUUGAACCGCAUGGUUCAAAGGUAAAAGACGGUCUUGCUGUCACUUAUAGAUGGAUCCGCGCUGCAUUAGCUAGUUGGUAAGGUAACGGCUUACCAAUGCAACGAUGCAUAGCCGACCUGAGAGGGUGAUCGGCCACACUGGAACUGAGACACGGUCCAGACUCCUACGGGAGGCAGCAGUAGGGAAUCUUCCGCAAUGGGCGAAAGCCUGACGGAGCAACGCCGCGUGAGUGAUGAAGGUCUUCGGAUCGUAAAACUCUGUUAUUAGGGAAGAACAUAUGUGUAAGUAACUGUGCACAUCUUGACGGUACCUAAUCAGAAAGCCACGGCUAACUACGUG